This 884-nucleotide ribosomal RNA is filed under the name Levilactobacillus brevis. RNAcentral describes it as "Lactobacillus brevis partial 16S ribosomal RNA". It matches the Rfam family "Bacterial small subunit ribosomal RNA", at positions 213 to 1093 of the family's 1533-position model. The record is from RNAcentral. Lineage: Bacteria; Bacillati; Bacillota; Bacilli; Lactobacillales; Lactobacillaceae.
UAUCACUUCUGGAUGAUCCCGCGGCGUAUAAGUUAGUUGGUGAGGUAAAGGCCCACCAAGACGAUGAUACGUAGCCGACCUGAGAGGGUAAUCGGCCACAUUGGGACUGAGACACGGCCCAAACUCCUACGGGAGGCAGCAGUAGGGAAUCUUCCACAAUGGACGAAAGUGUGAUGGAGCAAUGCCAUGUGAGUGAANNAGGGUUUCGGCUCGUAAACCUCUGNNGUUAAAGAAGNNCACCUUUGAGAGUAACUGUUCAAGGGUUGACGGUAUUUAACCAGAAAGCCACGGCUAACUACGUGCCAGCACCCGCGGUAAUACGUAGGUGGCAAGCGUUGUCCGGAUUUAUUGGGCGUAAAGCGAGCGCAGGCGGUUUUAAGUCUGAUCUGUUAGCCUUCGGCUUAACCGGAGAAGUGCAUCGGAAACUGGGAGACUUGAGUGCAGAAGAGGACAGUGCNACUCCAUGUGUAGCGGUGGAAUGCGUAGAUAUAUGGAAGAAAACCAGUNNAAGGCGGCUGUCUAGUCUGUAACUGACGCUGAGGCUCGAAAGCAUNNGUAGCGAACAGGAUUAGAUNCCCUGGUAGUCCAUGCCGUAAACGAUGAGUGCUAAGUGUUGGAGGGUUUCCGCCCUUCAGUGCUGCAGCUAACGCAUUAAGCACUCCGCCUGGGGAGNACGACGGCAAGGUUGAAACUCAAAGGAAUUGACGGGGGCCCGCACAAGCGGUGGAGCAUGUGGUUUAAUUCGAGGCUACGCGAAGAACCUUACCAGGUCUUGACAUCUUCUGCCAAUCUUAGAGNUAAGACGUUCCCUUCGGGGACAGAAUGACAGNNNGUGCAUGGUUGUCGUCAGCUCGUGUCGUGAGAUGUUGGGNNNGUCCCGCAAC